GGAUGCUUGGUGUAAUGGCUAACACAUCAGUCCGGUCUACUGAAGAUGCUGGUUCGCUCCCAGCCGCCG
This 69-nucleotide transfer RNA is filed under the name Meloidogyne enterolobii. RNAcentral describes it as "tRNA-Thr". The record is from RNAcentral. Lineage: Eukaryota; Metazoa; Nematoda; Chromadorea; Rhabditida; Meloidogynidae.